AGAGUUUGAUCCUGGCUCAGGAUGAACGCUGGCGGUAUGCUUAACACAUGCAAGUCGAACGCAGUCCUUCGGGGCUGAGUGGCGGACGGGUGAGUAACGCGUGAGAAUCUGCCUAAAGGACUGGGACAACAGCUGGAAACGGCUGCUAAUACCAGAUAUGCCAGAAAGUGAAAAGGGGUAACCCGCCUUUUGAUGAGCUCGCGUCUGAUUAGCUAGUUGGUAGGGUAAAGGCCUACCAAGGCACCGAUCAGUAACUGGUCUGAGAGGAUGGCCAGUCACACUGGGACUGAGACACGGCCCAGACUCCUACGGGAGGCAGCAGUGGGGAAUUUUCCGCAAUGGGCGAAAGCCUGACGGAGCAAUACCGCGUGGGGGAGGAAGGCUCUUGGGUCGUAAACCUCUUUUCUCAGGGAAGAACACAAUGACGGUACCUGAGGAAUCAGCAUCGGCUAACUCCGUGCCAGCAGCCGCGGUAAUACGGAGGAUGCAAGCGUUAUCCGGAAUGAUUGGGCGUAAAGCGUCCGCAGGUGGCAGUGUAAGUCUGCUGUCAAAGGUCAGGGCUCAACCCUGAACAGGCAGUGGAAACUACACAGCUAGAGUGCGGUGGGGGCAGAGGGAAUUCCCAGUGUAGCGGUGAAAUGCGUAGAGAUUGGGAAGAACACCGGUGGCGAAAGCGCUCUGCUAGGCCGCAACUGACACUCAUGGACGAAAGCUAGGGGAGCGAAUGGGAUUAGAUACCCCCGUAGUCC
RNAcentral lists this ribosomal RNA (749 nucleotides) under uncultured cyanobacterium. RNAcentral's name for it is "bacterial SSU rRNA". It matches the Rfam family "Bacterial small subunit ribosomal RNA", at positions 8 to 796 of the family's 1533-position model. Lineage: Bacteria; Bacillati; Cyanobacteriota. The record is from RNAcentral.